This 291-nucleotide long non-coding RNA is filed under the name Gossypium raimondii (Peruvian cotton). RNAcentral describes it as "long non-coding RNA (GRAI_LNC009288)". The record is from RNAcentral. Lineage: Eukaryota; Viridiplantae; Streptophyta; Magnoliopsida; Malvales; Malvaceae.
GUGAUACCACGACGUGAUGGCGACGACAAUGGUGGAGGUCCGGUAGUGGUGUUGUAGUAAUAGGUGGUGGUUCAGUUGGCUAAUGGCGGUGGUGAUUUGAAGGAAAAGUGGAAAAAAUGAUGAUUUAGAAGCUAAAAUGUAAGAAAGAAAAUAUUAAAAAAGGAGUAUGGAGGAGGGGUGGCAAAAGAGAGAGGAGGUGAGCAAAAUGAAAAAAAUAAAAUGAACCUUGUGUCUAGGUGCAUUAGACGGCUAAGGUACGAUAAAAGAAGGAAAAUGGAAACAUGAGGGGGC